RNAcentral lists this unclassified non-coding RNA (200 nucleotides) under Dothideomycetes sp. RNAcentral describes it as "partial internal transcribed spacer 2". Lineage: Eukaryota; Fungi; Ascomycota; Dothideomycetes. The record is from RNAcentral.
UUAAGUUCAGCGGGUAUCCCUACCUGAUCCGAGGUCAAGUUCAGAAAAUUGGGCCUUGAUGGACGCCGAAUCCGCGCGGGCUCCAGGAAGCGCGAACAGUGCUGCGCGAUUAGGAGGCCCGGCAGGACCGCUGCCAAUGCCUUUGAGGCGAGUCCACGCGGUAGUCGCUGGAGGACAGACGCCCAACACCAAGCAGGGCU